Molecule: ribosomal RNA, 985 nt
Filed under: uncultured eukaryote
Lineage: Eukaryota
Description: bacterial SSU rRNA
Rfam family: Eukaryotic small subunit ribosomal RNA
Source: RNAcentral
AACCUGGUUGAUCCUGCCAGUAGUCAUAUGCUUGUCUCAAAGAUUAAGCCAUGCACGUUUAAAUACAAGCCUUAAAAUGGUGAAAUCGCGAAUAGCUCAUUACAACAGCCUUUGUUUCUUGGAUCUUACUCUCUACUUGGAUAACUGUGGUAAUUCUAGAGCUAAUACAUGCCUUGUAGUCCCGACGCAAGAAGGGACGCAUUUAUUAGAACUAAACCAAUCGGGCUUUGCCCGCUGUUUGGUGACUCUGAAUAACUCCGCAGAUCGCAUGGUCUAGCACCGGCGACAUAUCCUUCAAGUGUCUGCCUUAUCAACUUUCGAUGGUAGUUUAUGUGACUACCAUGGUUGUAACGGGUAACGGAGAAUUAGGGUUCGACUCCGGAGAGGGAGCCUGAGAAACGGCUACCACAUCCAAGGAAGGCAGCAGGCGCGCAAAUUACCCACUCUCGGCACGAGGAGGUAGUGACGAAAAAUAACGAGACAGUUCUCUUAUGAGGUCUGUCAUCGGAAUGGGUACAACCUAAACCCUUUAACGAGGAUCUAUUGGAGGGCAAGUCUGGUGCCAGCAGCCGCGGUAAUUCCAGCUCCAAUAGCGUAUAUUAAAGUUGUUGCGGUUAAAAAGCUCGUAGUUGGAUCUCUGGUCUUGCCGGCUGGUCUCCUUCAGGGACGCACUGGUCGGCGGACCCAGACUGUUAGUUUUCCAUGCGUGCUCUUCAUUGGGUGCGUAUGGUGGCUAGCGCGUUUACUUUGAAAAAAUUAGAGUGCUCAAAGCAGGCCUAUGUGCCUGGAUAGUGGUGCAUGGAAUAAUGGAAUAGGACGUCAGUUCUAUUUGUUGGUUCGGAAUUUGACGUAAUGAUUAAGAGGGACAGACGGGGGCAUUCGUAUUGCUACGCUAGAGGUGAAAUUCUUGGAUCGUAGCACGACGAACAACUGCGAAAGCAUUUGCCAAGAAUGUUUUCAUUAAUCAAGAACGAAAGUUAGAGGU